RNAcentral lists this ribosomal RNA (666 nucleotides) under uncultured organism. RNAcentral describes it as "bacterial SSU rRNA". It matches the Rfam family "Bacterial small subunit ribosomal RNA", at positions 1 to 663 of the family's 1533-position model. The record is from RNAcentral.
GGCUUAGAGUUUGAUCAUGGCUCAGGAUGAACGCUGGCGGCGUGCUUAACACAUGCAAGUCGAACGAAGAAGGUUAGAAUGAGAGCUUCGGCAGGAUUUCUCUCCAUCUUAGUGGCGGACGGGUGAGUAACGUGUGGGCAACCUGCCCUGUACUGGGGAAUAAUCAUUGGAAACGAUGGCUAAUACCGCAUGUGGUCCUUGGAAGGCAUCUUCUGAGGAAGAAAGGAUUUAUUCGGUACAGGAUGGGCCCGCAUCUGAUUAGCUAGUUGGUGAGAUAACAGCCCACCAAGGCGACGAUCAGUAGCCGACCUGAGAGGGUGAUCGGCCACAUUGGGACUGAGACACGGCCCAAACUCCUACGGGAGGCAGCAGUGGGGAAUAUUGCACAAUGGGCGAAAGCCUGAUGCAGCAACGCCGCGUGAAGGAUGAAGGGUUUCGGCUCGUAAACUUCUAUCAAUAGGGAAGAAAGAAAUGACGGUACCUAAAUAAGAAGCCCCGGCUAACUACGUGCCAGCAGCCGCGGUAAUACGUAGGGGGCAAGCGUUAUCCGGAAUUACUGGGUGUAAAGGGAGCGUAGGCGGCAUGGUAAGCCAGAUGUGAAAGCCUUGGGCUUAACCCGAGGAUUGCAUUUGGAACUAUCAAGCUAGGGUACAGGAGAGGAAAGCG